Molecule: ribosomal RNA, 497 nt
Filed under: uncultured bacterium
Lineage: Bacteria
Description: partial 16S ribosomal RNA
Rfam family: Bacterial small subunit ribosomal RNA
Source: RNAcentral
GAUGAACGCUGGCGGCGUGCCUAAUACAUGCAAGUCGAGCGAACGGACGAGAAGCUUGCUUCUCUGAUGUUAGCGGCGGACGGGUGAGUAACACGUGGAUAACCUACCUAUAAGACUGGGAUAACUUCGGGAAACCGUAGCUAAUACCGGAUAAUAUUUUGAACCGCAUGGUUCAAAAGUGAAAGACGGUCUUGCUGUCACUUAUAGAUGUAUCCGCGCUGCAUUAGCUAGUUGGUAAGGUAACGGCUUACCAAGGCAACGAUGCAUAGCCGACCUGAGAGGGUGAUCGGCCACACUGGAACUGAGACACGGUCCAGACUCCUACGGGAGGCAGCAGUAGGGAAUCUUCCGCAAUGGGCGAAAGCCUGACGGAGCAACGCCGCGUGAGGGAUGAAGGUCUUCGGAUCGUAAAACUCUGUUAUUAGGGAAGAACAUAUGUGUAAGUAACUGUGCACAUCUUGACGGUACCUAAUCAGAAAGCCACGGCUAACUACGUG